Molecule: ribosomal RNA, 253 nt
Filed under: uncultured bacterium
Lineage: Bacteria
Description: partial 16S ribosomal RNA
Rfam family: Bacterial small subunit ribosomal RNA
Source: RNAcentral
UACGUAGGGUGCAAGCGUUGUCCGGAAUUAUUGGGCGUAAAGAGCUCGUAGGCGGUUUGUCGCGUCUGCUGUGAAAUCUGGUGGCUCAACCAUCAGCGUGCAGUGGGUACGGGCAGACUAGAGUGCGGUAGGGGAGAUUGGAAUUCCUGGUGUAGCGGUGGAAUGCGCAGAUAUCAGGAGGAACACCGAUGGCGAAGGCAGAUCUCUGGGCCGCUACUGACGCUGAGGAGCGAAAGCAUGGGGAGCGAACAGG